RNAcentral lists this transfer RNA (85 nucleotides) under Vibrio diabolicus. RNAcentral's name for it is "tRNA-Leu". It matches the Rfam family "tRNA". From Rfam's summary of the family: Transfer RNA (tRNA) molecules are approximately 80 nucleotides in length. The record is from RNAcentral. Lineage: Bacteria; Pseudomonadati; Pseudomonadota; Gammaproteobacteria; Vibrionales; Vibrionaceae.
GCGGAAGUGGCGGAAUACCAAUUAUCUUGAGAUUUAGGUUCUGGCGCCGCAAGGUGUGAGAGUUCAAGUCUCUCCUUCCGCACCA